This 4378-nucleotide long non-coding RNA is filed under the name Gossypium barbadense (sea-island cotton). RNAcentral's name for it is "long non-coding RNA (GBAR_LNC015174)". The record is from RNAcentral. Lineage: Eukaryota; Viridiplantae; Streptophyta; Magnoliopsida; Malvales; Malvaceae.
UCCGCAACCAAACUUUACAAUCUGCAAACAUUGAGGCUCUUGGGUUUACUGAGACUCACACUUCCAGAUGGAUUGGAAAUUUUGACAAGCUUGAAGCACUUGUAUUUUGGUAAAAAAGAACAUCAACUAGUUAAUAUUGGAAACCUAACUUGUCUUCAAACAUUACCCAUAUUUUUUGUGGGAUCAGAAAGGGGGCAUUCGAUUAAGGAGUUAGGAUCCCUAGACGAACUGCGUGGAGAAUUGAAGAUAUGCCAUCUUGAGGGUGUUAGAGACGAACAAGAGGCUAAAGGAGCAAAUCUGCACCGUAAAGAAAAAUUAUUCAAGGUGAUAUUUGAUUUUGGACGGUGUGAUAGUGGGAGUAGUGGUUAUAACAGUGAGGAAGUGAUGGAAGGUCUCCAACCACACUCAAAGUUGCAAAGCUUAACUGUUUCGCUUUACAGAGGUGAAAGCUUUCCCUCGUGGAUGUUAAGACCUGUUGGUGAUUCUAAUACUAAUCUGUUUUUGCUUAACAAUUUGAUGGAGCUGAAGUUUUUCUAUUGCAAGAACUGUGAAAGUCUUCCACCUCUGGGCCAAUUGCACAAUCUCCAGUAUCUUGAGUUGAUAAAGCUGACGAAAGUGAAACGCAUGGGUAAUGAAUUUUAUUGCAACGAAAGUGUUGAUGGUAUGAAUAAGGUGAUCAAGGUGUUUCCUGCAUUGAAAAAAUUCACCUUAAGGUUUAUGGACAGUCUAGAAGAAUGGACAGGAAUGGCGGAAACAAAGAUGAUCAUGUUUCCUUGCUUGGAGCGGCUGGAGAUUACGAGGUGUCCCUUGUUGAAAAGUGUUCCACUAACGGGACAAUGCUCAUCUCUUCAAAAGCUUCACAUUUCCAGUUGUGAAAAAUUAAGCAAGAUUGGAGAUGGAUUAUCUACCUCCACUUGUCUCAAAAAAUUACAUCUAGGCAAUUGUCCUGAUUUAAGUUCGAUCCCAAAUUUGGAAGGAUUUUCCUCUCUUCAAGAUCUGUCAGUUUGUGGGUGCCUCAAAUUGGAAGUUCUUCCAAUAACUGGAGGAUGUUCAUCUCUUGAAGAGCUGGAGAUUACGAGGUGUCCCUUGUUGAAAAGUGUUCCACUAACGGGACAAUGCUCAUCUCUUCAAAAGCUUCACAUUUGGGAUUGUGAAAAAUUAAGCAAGAUUGGAGAUGGAUUAUCUACCUCCACUUGUCUCAAAAAAUUACAUCUAGGCAAUUGUCCUGAUUUAAGUUCGAUCCCAAAUUUGGAAGGAUUUUCCUCUCUUCAAGAUCUGUCAGUUUGGGGGUGCCUCAAAUUGGAAGUUCUUCCAAUAACGGGACAAUGUUAUUCUCUUGAAAAGCUUCGCAUUUGCGAUUGUGAAAAAUUAAGCAAGAUUGGAGAUGGAUUAUCUACCUCCACUUGUCUCAAAAAAUUAAAUCUAAUCAUUUGUCCUGAUUUAAGUUCGAUCCCAAAUUUGGAAGGAUUUUCCUCUCUUCAAUAUCUGUCAGUUCGAUGUUGCAAGAAAUUGGAAGUUCUUCCAAUAACCGGAGGAUGUUCAUCUCUUGAAAAGCUUCGCAUUUCCAGUUGUGAAAAAUUAAGCAAGAUUGGAGAUGGAUUAUCUACCUCCACUUGUCUCAAAAAAUUAGAUCUAGUAGAUUGUCCUGAUUUAAGUUCGAUCCCAAAUUUGGAAGGAUUUUCCUCUCUUCAAGAUCUGUCAGUUUGGAGGUGCCUCAAAUUGGAAGUUCUUCCAAUAACCGGAGGAUGUUCAUCUCUUGAAGAGCUUUCCAUUUACAGUUGUGAAAAAUUAAGCAAGAUUGGAGAUGGAUUAUCUACCUCCACUUGUCUCAAAAAAUUAAAUCUAGCAGAUUGUCCUGAUUUAAGUUCGAUCCCAAAUUUGGAAGGAUUUUCCUCUCUUCAAUAUCUGUCAGUUCGAAGGUGCGACAAAUUGGAAGUUCUUCCAAUAACAGCACCACUGUCAUCGCUUAAAAAAAUGUUGAUAGGUGAUUGCCCUAAUUUGAGGCCCAUUCCAAGUUUAGAUGGACUCUCUUCUCUCACAGAAUUAGAAAUUGGGAAAGUAGGCGAAGGAUGGAGUCGUCUGCUACCAAAUAUGUUGCAAUCCAACGUUUCCCUUUGCAGUCUAACAAUAUUAAAUAUUCCUGAUCUGAUAUGGAUUCAAGAUGACAGCCUUGGUAGGCUUAACUGCUUGAGAGAAUUAGCUAUCGGUGGUUUCUCAGAAAAGCUACAAGAAUUCCCGGGGUCCAGUUCCAUUCGAUAUCUGAGUGCCUCCCUUCUAGUUCUAAAACUGACUGGUUGGGAAAAGCUAAAGAGUCUUCCUCACCAACUUCAGUUCUUGACUGCCCUCGAAGAAUUGACGAUAGAAGGGUUUCAAGGAGUAGAAGCCUUUCCAGAGUGGUUGGGAAAUCUCUCUUCUCUGAAGCGUCUAUAUUUGAGUGGUUUUGGAAAGCUAAAGAGUCUUCCUCACCAACUUCAUCUCCCCAGUACCCUUGAAGAGUUGACUAUUGACAAUUUUCAUGAAAUAGAAGCCUUGCCAGACUCGUUCAGAAAUCUCUCUUCUCUAGGGUGUCUGAGUAUCCAGUUCUGUGAUAAGCUCAUGUACUUGCCUUCUGUAGAUGUUAUGCGAAGCCUCUCCAAAUUAAUAAGAAUGAACAUUAAAGGGUGUCCUCUAUUAGAGACAAGAUGUGAGCGGGAGAGUGGCCCUGAAUGGUCCAAGAUUUCCCACAUUCCACAUGUAUAUAUUAAUCAUCGGAGGUAAGUUCAGUUACUUGAACCACAACUCUGCAUCUUUUGGCUUUUGAUAUAAAAUAUACUAAUCCUCUCUUGAUACUUUUUAUAGUUAUACCGUUUGUUCUUCUCAUCCUAAGUUACUUGAUUUUGUCUCAUAUAAAUCCUUCUUUUAAAAUUUUUUUGGCUUUUGUGGCAUAAUGUUGCAGGACUAAUUGGGGCAUCAAAUCUGUUAGAAAAUGGACUGCAAAGCAACAAACAAGUUGAUAUGCAACUUGGUUUCAUAAUGAUAGCUAUAAUGCUUUCAUCUUUUGCUUUCAUAAUGAUAGCCAAAUUUGGUGGAGUAGGUAGUAUUUGGUGAUGUAUUUGACUAUAAAUGUAUUGUUUUUCUAGUUGAAUGAAUGAGCUGAAUGAGCUAUCAGCCAUUAGCUCCCUUGCAGCACGUUUGUGAGCAAGUAAAUUGUUUUUGUUUCUUCCUCCUUUGUUCUUUGUCUUGUUUUCUUUCUUUUUGCUGCUGCCAAUGUAGGAUCAACAGUGCAAGCACUUUCGAAUCAAAGGCAUCACCCAGGAAGACUAGAAGAUGAAGAAUGCUGGUCCGUAAUUGAACAACUAGCAUUGACACCCUUUCCAAUGUCUCACGAAUUAGAGCUUAUUGGAAAGGAGAUUGCUAUGCAGUGUCGAGGUCUGCCAUUGUUAGCUAAAGUUAUUGGAGGGACAAUGCGCAAAGAAAGGAGCCACGGCACAUGGUUGGAAAUUCAAGAAAGUGGAGUAUGGGGUUCAGCGGACAGUGAGUCAGUGGAAAGUGUGUUAAAAUUAAGUUUUGAUCGCUUGCCUUCUCCAUCUUUGAAGAAGUGUUUUGCGUACUGUGCCAUGUUUCCGAAAGAUUAUUGCUUUGAAACAGAGGAAUUGAAGCAACUGUGGAUGGCUGAAGGAUUUCUUGGCAGCCCUAUGGCAAUGGUGGAUAUUGGUGACAAAUACUUGAAUGAGUUGUUAUCAAAUUCCUUAUUUCAAGAUGUCGAGAAGGACAAAUUCGGGAAUAUUCUCACAUUCAAGAUGCACGACUCGGUGCAUGAUCUAUCUUUGUCUGUGUCAAAGUUUGAUACUUUGUUUUUUCAAGAGAAAUCCAGUCUCACCUCAAAAGAGUGUUCUCAUAUUCGUCAUCUCAAUGUUGGGUGCGAUGGGGAAUCAUUACCAGAAAUUUUAACAGCGGUUGCUCCGAAAUUAUACUCGUUGUUUUCAGAGAUUGAUGUGUUCAAGAAACUAUCAAAAAGCUUCACAAGAUUAAGAGUCCUAAAGUUUGUUGGCGCUGCUAAUAUUUGUGAGUUGCCAGAUUCCCUUGGAGAAUUGAAGCACUUGAGGUAUUUGGAUGUCUCAAGGACUUCUAUCAAAGCACUGCUGAAGUCCGCAACCAAACUUUACAAUCUGCAAACAUUGAGGCUCUUGGGUUUACUGAGACUCACACUUCCAGAUGGAUUGGAAAUUUUGACAAGCUUGAAGCACUUGUAUUUUGAUAAAAAAGAACAUCAACUAGUUAAUAUUGGAAACCUAACUUGUCUUCAAACAUUACCCAUAUUUUUUGUGGGAUCAGAAAGGGGGCAUUCGAUUAAGGAGUUAGGAUCCCUAGACGAACUGCGUGGAGAAUUGAAGAUAUG